RNAcentral lists this long non-coding RNA (1864 nucleotides) under Bemisia tabaci. Its description in RNAcentral is "lncRNA ENSSSA3NGG010056". The record is from RNAcentral. Lineage: Eukaryota; Metazoa; Arthropoda; Insecta; Hemiptera; Aleyrodidae.
UGUGUAAACAAAUACAAAUCGUUAUCUCCACUCUCCACUUUUCUACAAAAAAUUAGCUUCCUAAUACGUAAACAGUUUUUACCGCAUAGCGCAUCGAAUUUUUCGUGACGCAGAAACGCUCUAGUCUGUUGCAUUUCUCAUAUAAUUCGAAUCCAUCGUAACGAAAUGCGAACACAAAUGAUAACAGUUUCAAGUUGGAUUCUCCCUUUAUCAAUUUACAGGUGUGCCUUUGCUGUUUAUCAGUGACUUUACUGGAAUGCUGUUUCGUCCACGUCGAAUAGCCGGCACCUGGAGGUCACUUCCCAGAUAAAAUAACAGACAAGCUUUGCUCUGACAAGCUGAAUAUGUAAGCCUGUAAACUACUUGGUUUCUCCAGCACUGCCUCCGCAGAGAUGAAAUAAAAGCAAGGAUAGCGGUGCUCUCAAUGACUCUGAUAAUUACCGGUUGCCUCUGCUACUCUCUUAUUGUGCUCUAUACGAUUACCGACUCAACUCUUGGCAUCAAAGAUCCGCUACCGAAUGCAGAGCCUGUCGAAAAUCCUGACAUUUUUAUUCCUCCUCGUUUCCAACCGGUAAAUAUUAUCAAUAACUUUCGUUUUAUUUUUCAAAAAUUUCAAUCAACUGUCUCUAAAGCAAUUAAUAAUUUCCUUGAUAUUAAUUGAAAAUCAAAAGAACAAUGCAUAACGGAGUAGUUUUGCCAGCACAGAAAACGAUCUAAUUAUUGAUAAUAGCAGAGUCUAUCUCUGGUGCUCCAACCUGAUUAAGAGAAAAAUCCGAGACAUAAGUUGCUGAGGACUUCGACUCCUUUUUUUCCAAAGAGAGGAAGGGCAGCAGAGGAAAAAAGGAGUCGGUUAUCUCAUGUCGUCUUAGACUGUUUCCAUAGUUUGCUAGAAGUUUGGUUUUCUUAAGCAUCAGAGCCACUUGUAAUAUACUUCAAUUUGAAUCGAUAAGAAAUCAAAUCCAUAUUCGUAGCCUCUCUAGUUCCAAAAAACGCAUCAUUGUGUAACUGGCCCCAAAGAGGGAGAUGAAUUUUAACCUGCUUGUACUCAUUACCUUUUCAAAAUUUUACAAAAAGUAUGAUAAUCAGUUUCUUAAGAAAAAAUUAUGACAAUCAUUACUUUUGUAUUUGAUACCCAAAGAAACGUUACCAAUAAGCAAUAUAUCCAUCUUGACCUCUGAUUUUAUCUUGCCUUAACCCUCUAUGGCAUGAUUUAAUUUAUCUCAGAUUCUAGGGGACACUACUAAUCUAUUUUGUUGCUUGCAUUCAAAAAAGUAGAGUACCAAAUUUGUUUUCAAAAUUUUAAAGUUAAGGGAAUCAGUUUUUCCAAAAAAGAAAAACCAAUGAAAUUUUGCGAAAUCAUGGCACAGAGGAAAGAUGCAAUUUUUAAAAACCCCGAAAAUACGUUCUAUAUGAAUUUGUAUCGCCAUGCCAUAGAGGGUUAAAUUGAUCAUUUCUUUUACUUUACUGUAUUAACUUGAUGGUAACAGUGUCAAGUGCCAGCACCUGACAGCAUUACUAUUUAGGAAUAAUGUUAGGCGCCAGCAGCAGAAACAAUUGAAUAUUGUAUUGUAAGGAUAGUUUUUUUUUCAUAAGCUAUGAUGGUACUUGACAGUGCGCUCUUCCCUUGGUUAUGUUUGCUGGAAAGCUUCUGUAUUGCCAACAUAUUAUGCACAAAUGUCUUCACGCAUUAUUAAUUCAUCUUCAUUCUCUUAUUUUUUUACGGAUAAAGCCACACAUUGUUAGCAGUGAUGUUAUGGAACCAAUGAAAUGUUCAUUUUCAAUGAAACUCCUCAUCAUGAUAUCAGUGUGAGUAUCUCCAUACACAUAAUGCUCAAUCAUUUAUUAUAUUUGUUAACAUGAGACA